Small nucleolar RNA from Erinaceus europaeus (western European hedgehog), 129 nucleotides. Its record names the gene SNORA70. It matches the Rfam family "Small nucleolar RNA SNORA70". Rfam says of the family: snoRNA U70 seems to be exclusive to mammals and is a member of the H/ACA class of snoRNA which contain H (ANANNA) and ACA box motifs. The record is from Ensembl. Lineage: Eukaryota; Metazoa; Chordata; Mammalia; Eulipotyphla; Erinaceidae.
CUGAAGCCAGUUAAGCUGACCCUGCUACCUUCCCCAUAGCACCCUGUAUGCAAUAGCUGCAAAUAGCAACCACCAGGGUAGUCUAUGUGGCCUUUUGCUUGUACAGGCUGCCCUAAGGGACUUUCAGCU